This 567-nucleotide ribosomal RNA is filed under the name Lactifluus sp. VH-2016. Its description in RNAcentral is "partial 12S small subunit ribosomal RNA". It matches the Rfam family "Bacterial small subunit ribosomal RNA", at positions 359 to 952 of the family's 1533-position model. Lineage: Eukaryota; Fungi; Basidiomycota; Agaricomycetes; Russulales; Russulaceae. The record is from RNAcentral.
GAAUAUUAGUCAAUGCUCGAAAGAGUGAACUAGCUAACUGAAAUCAAUUAAAAUAAUUGAUAACAUAAGGGAAAAUUAUGAUAUUACCUUAUUAUUAGUGUCGUCCAAAUCUGGUGCCAGAAGACUCGGUAAGGCCAGAGACACAAACGUUAAUCGUCUUAAUCAGGCGUAAAGGGUUUGUAGGCGGCUUUUAAUUAACUUAAAAAAAUUCUUAAAAAAUAAAUAAAUAAAUAAAAAGUAAAAAAUAAAAGCUAGAAUCAAAUAGAGGAUAUAUUAAAUAACGCUUAGAGUAGGUCUGAUAUCCUUAAAUACUAAGUAGAAUAUUAAAGGCGAAGGCUUUUUUCCAUUAAUGAUUGACGCUCAGAAACGAAGGUGAGGAUAGGAAAUAGGAUUAGAUACCCAAAAUACCCCUCUCUGUCAACGAUGAAUGGUAAUUAAUAAUAAAAAAUUUUAUUAAUAAUAAUGUUAACACGAUAACCAUUCCGCCUUGUGAGUAUGACUGCAAAGUUGAAAACAAAAAAAUUAGUCGGUUUCGGAGCAAACGAAGUGAAGCAUGUUAUUUAAUUC